UACGUAGGGGGCGAGCGUUGUCCGGAUUUAUUAGGCGUAAAGAGCUCGUAGGCGGUUCGAUAAGUCGGACGUGAAAUCUCCACGCUCAACGUGGAGGGGCCGUUCGAUACUGUCGUGACUCGAGUCCGGUAGGGGAGUGUGGAAUUCCCGGUGUAGCGGUGAAAUGCGCAGAGAUCGGGAGGAACACCCGUAGCGAAGGCGGCACUCUGGGCCGGUACUGACGCUGAGGAGCGAAAGCGUGGGGAGCAAACGGG
RNAcentral lists this ribosomal RNA (254 nucleotides) under uncultured bacterium. Its description in RNAcentral is "partial 16S ribosomal RNA". It matches the Rfam family "Bacterial small subunit ribosomal RNA", at positions 524 to 776 of the family's 1533-position model. The record is from RNAcentral.